This 565-nucleotide ribosomal RNA is filed under the name Diaporthe sp. Its description in RNAcentral is "eukaryotic LSU rRNA". The stretch from base 200 to 353 matches the Rfam family "5.8S ribosomal RNA". Lineage: Eukaryota; Fungi; Ascomycota; Sordariomycetes; Diaporthales; Diaporthaceae. The record is from RNAcentral.
GGGGACUGCGGAGGGAUCAUUGCUGGAACGCGCCCCAGGCGCACCCAGAAACCCUUUGUGAACUUAUACCUUACUGUUGCCUCGGCGCUAGCUGGUCCUCCGGGGCCCCUCACCCCCGGGUGUUGAGACAGCCCGCCGGCGGCCAACCCAACUCUUGUUUUUACACUGAAACUCUGAGCACAAAACAUAAAUGAAUCAAAACUUUCAACAACGGAUCUCUUGGUUCUGGCAUCGAUGAAGAACGCAGCGAAAUGCGAUAAGUAAUGUGAAUUGCAGAAUUCAGUGAAUCAUCGAAUCUUUGAACGCACAUUGCGCCCUCUGGUAUUCCGGAGGGCAUGCCUGUUCGAGCGUCAUUUCAACCCUCAAGCCUGGCUUGGUGAUGGGGCACUGCUUCUUACCCGAGAAGCAGGCCCUGAAAUUCAGUGGCGAGCUCGCCAGGACCCCGAGCGCAGUAGUUAAACCCUCGCUCUGGAAGGCCCUGGCGGUGCCCUGCCGUUAAACCCCCAACUUCUGAAAAUUUGACCUCGGAUCAGGUAGGAAUACCCGCUGAACUUAAGCAUAUCAA